UGAGGAAUAUUGGGCAAUGCCCGCAAGGGUGACCCAGCAACGCCGCGUGGAGGAUGAAUGUCGUAAGAUUGUAACUCCUGUUAGAGGGGAAGAAUAGUACCAGUUGGACCGGUAUAUGACUGUACCCUCAGAGAAAGCCCCGGCUAACUACGUGCCAGCAGCCGCGGUAAUACGUAGGGGGCAAGCGUUGUCCGGAUUUACUGGGUGUAAAGGGCGCGCAGGCGGGAUAAAAAGUCAGUGGUGAAAUCCUACAGCUUAACUGUAGAACUGCCUUUGAUACUUUUAUUCUUGAGUUCGGGAGAGAGAGACGGAAUUCCAGGUGUAGUGGUGAAAUACGUAGAUAUCUGGAAGAACACCAGUUGCGAAGGCGGUCUCUUGGUCCGACACUGACGCUGAGGCGCGAAAGCGUGGGGAGCAAACA
RNAcentral lists this ribosomal RNA (421 nucleotides) under uncultured bacterium. RNAcentral describes it as "bacterial SSU rRNA". It matches the Rfam family "Bacterial small subunit ribosomal RNA", at positions 355 to 774 of the family's 1533-position model. The record is from RNAcentral.